GCGACGCACCCUCAUGUGAUCAUGGUCCUGCUUUAACAGUUUCCGCGCGGCAUCCUUGAAAACAGGACGUGUUGAUUUACCGGGGAGUCCCACGUGAAAUUCUUGAAAGGAUAAAUUGGAAAUUGUUCGAGUUCAAUCUGAAAAUUGUGAAUGAUGUGAAUAAGUUGUCUUUUACAGAAUUACACGAAAAGCAUUUCGAAUGUAUGACAUGCAGAAAUAUAUAAAAUAGUUGAUUUAUAAGACUCAAAGUUUUGCUACUCAGUUGCUUCAGGACUGAUUUUUCGAAAAUAUUUUCAUCAACUGACUUCAAGCUCCACUAUCCUCAUAAACAAUCUAUCAUUCAAGAGAAUUAUAAAGUUAAAAUCAAAAUAUAUCGCAGAUCAAAUUCCCCUGUGAAAAUAAACACUUGUUAACUGUAAUAUAUAUGUGGGUGUUACUCAUGUUUUGAUGAAAUCAACAGACAAUGUCUUCGUAAACCCUCCAUUCUGUCAAACUACAAAACGGUGUGCAAAUCUGGAUAAGCUACGUGAUCUGCAGUCGUGUUGAAAAUGGAAGAAUUUGCAGUUCUGGCUAGACAUAUUUUCACGUUCAUCCUGCUCGGGAUUCUCAGUG
Long non-coding RNA from Leptinotarsa decemlineata (Colorado potato beetle), 612 nucleotides. The record is from RefSeq and is a predicted model, not a curated record. Lineage: Eukaryota; Metazoa; Arthropoda; Insecta; Coleoptera; Chrysomelidae.